GAAGACAAGCUACCUAAAUGUGACUUAUCGACUAGUACUGAAGCAGGACAACAGAACAACAGCUGAAGGAAACCAUGAAGAGGAGCUUGGAGUGGGCAAGAGGGAGGCUGAUAGAACAGCAGAGAAGACCUGAUUCAUCAAGUAUCACAGUUAAUUCUGGUGAUUCUCACCUGGUUGGCAUGCACAACUCUGCAAGACACUUCAAUCAGAAUCUCUUAAUGUUUGACGUCAGGCAAAACCUUUUCAGCCACCGUAGGAUAGAGAGCCGCUGGUUGACAAUUUUGACUGCAGUGUCUGUGUGGGUGAAAAAUUCACUGGACCAAUUCCAGUUUGCCUGUUGUCCCAACAAAUUUGUCAAUUAUGCAUUUUACAUACGCCAGAGUGCGUUUUCUUUGAUAGCUCCACUUUCAACACCAUCCUGACCCACAAACUGGUUAGCAGACUCAGGCCUCUGUGUGAAAACCCUGUAAUAACAAAUUAGAUUUUUACAUUAUCACAAGAAUGUGUAUCCCCAGAAUGGACCCAACACCUAAACAUGCUGACGACACUACCAUUGUACACCUUAUCACCAGUGAUCAUGAGCACAUGGAGCUGUGGGACCUGACAUAAUGGACAACAGCUUCACCGUAAGCAAAACCAAGUAGAUGGUGAGACUUAAUGACCAUUUUCCCACCAGUGCUUCUCCACUACCCUCAUCAACUUGCUGCACCACAACCUGUGAAAAUUACAGUGUCUGUUUUUAUUGCCAACACAUGUAAAUUAAAUGUUGUCCAUAUUUACUGUAAGAUUUAUGGUAACAUUGCACAUAUUGUAACAUUAUAGUCCUUUUUCAUACAUGACUUAACUGCUUUGCAUAAUUCUCAGUUUACCGACUAAGAAAUCGUACAUUAAUUAAAAUAAAGCUGCAUUAUGUAUUACAACAACUGAUUCUGAUUGGUUGUAAUUUUUUGGAAAACUUUCACCACACAACUUCUUUUGCUGAUGGUCGAUCCUGUCGGAAACUUUAAUAUCAAACCUUUUGGGACACAUAACCAAUUAACAUUGGCUGCAGUAUUCUGAACUUUACUA
This 1068-nucleotide long non-coding RNA is filed under the name Oncorhynchus kisutch (coho salmon). RNAcentral describes it as "lncRNA (ENSOKIG00005025917.1)". Lineage: Eukaryota; Metazoa; Chordata; Actinopteri; Salmoniformes; Salmonidae. The record is from RNAcentral.